Molecule: unclassified non-coding RNA, 290 nt
Filed under: plant metagenome
Description: partial contains small subunit ribosomal RNA, internal transcribed spacer 1, and 5.8S ribosomal RNA
Rfam family: Eukaryotic small subunit ribosomal RNA (bases 1-53)
Source: RNAcentral
GGAAGUAAAGUCGUAACAAGGUUUCCGUAGGUGAACCUGCGGAAGGAUCAUUAAUGAGUUGUCAUGGGGUUCGAUGCUGGCAGCCAAUUUUUGGAUGCAUGUGCUUGCCCUAACAAUCAUCUUCCAAACACCUGUGCACAUUUUUGAGGGAGUCUUGAGUUGGUUGCCGCUCUUGGGUGAUUAUCUCACAUUCCCUUAAAUCAUUAUACGCUAUUAACAAUGUUGAACGUGCUCUGUGCCGCAAGGCUAUUAAUAUAAUACAACUUUUAACAACGGAUCUCUUGGCUCUC